Molecule: long non-coding RNA, 219 nt
Filed under: Lathyrus oleraceus (garden pea)
Lineage: Eukaryota; Viridiplantae; Streptophyta; Magnoliopsida; Fabales; Fabaceae
Description: Pisum sativum (pea) long non-coding RNA (PSAT_LNC010158)
Source: RNAcentral
UUUACGCUCUGCAAUUUAGUUUUCAGCUUUCUAGCUUUUAGCAUUUUUUUCUUUUUCAGCAACCUUGUUUCUGUUGCCAUUAUUUUUACAGCAUUAUAUUUUUUUUACAGCAUUCCAUAUUUUUCUUCAGCAAUUUAUUUCCUUUGUUAGUUUAAUUUUUUAGGCAUUCAAUUAAUUUUCUCACAAUAGUUUCUACACCGGAAACUAUUGUGUAACUUU